RNAcentral lists this transfer RNA (82 nucleotides) under Saccharata proteae CBS 121410. It matches the Rfam family "tRNA". Rfam says of the family: Transfer RNA (tRNA) molecules are approximately 80 nucleotides in length. Lineage: Eukaryota; Fungi; Ascomycota; Dothideomycetes; Botryosphaeriales; Saccharataceae. The record is from Rfam by way of RNAcentral.
GGCCGCAUGGCCCAAUGGCAAGGCGCUUGACUACGAUACGUAGAAUAUCAAGAGAUUCCAGGUUCGACCCCUGGUGUGGUCA